GUGUUCUAUCCUUCAUUCCACCGGAGUCUGUAUCUGUGUUUAAACCAGAUUUCAGUGGUGUGAAGUGUAAGAGACA
RNAcentral lists this microRNA precursor (76 nucleotides) under Larimichthys crocea (large yellow croaker). Its description in RNAcentral is "mir-205 microRNA precursor family". It matches the Rfam family "mir-205 microRNA precursor family". Lineage: Eukaryota; Metazoa; Chordata; Actinopteri; Sciaenidae. The record is from Rfam by way of RNAcentral.